This 448-nucleotide ribosomal RNA is filed under the name Streptococcus mitis. RNAcentral's name for it is "bacterial SSU rRNA". It matches the Rfam family "Bacterial small subunit ribosomal RNA", at positions 28 to 464 of the family's 1533-position model. Lineage: Bacteria; Bacillati; Bacillota; Bacilli; Lactobacillales; Streptococcaceae. The record is from RNAcentral.
GACGAACGCUGGCGGCGUGCCUAAUACAUGCAAGUAGAACGCUGAAGGAGGAGCUUGCUUCUCUGGAUGAGUUGCGAACGGGUGAGUAACGCGUAGGUAACCUGCCUGGUAGCGGGGGAUAACUAUUGGAAACGAUAGCUAAUACCGCAUAACAGUAGAUGUUGCAUGACAUUUGCUUAAAAGGUGCAAUUGCAUCACUACCAGAUGGACCUGCGUUGUAUUAGCUAGUUGGUGGGGUAACGGCUCACCAAGGCGACGAUACAUAGCCGACCUGAGAGGGUGAUCGGCCACACUGGGACUGAGACACGGCCCAGACUCCUACGGGAGGCAGCAGUAGGGAAUCUUCGGCAAUGGACGGAAGUCUGACCGAGCAACGCCGCGUGAGUGAAGAAGGUUUUCGGAUCGUAAAGCUCUGUUGUAAGAGAAGAACGGGUGUGAGAGUGGAAAG